Non-coding RNA from Marmota flaviventris (yellow-bellied marmot), 250 nucleotides. NCBI's taxonomy places the organism in Eukaryota, Metazoa, Chordata, Mammalia, Rodentia, Sciuridae. The record is from RefSeq and is a predicted model, not a curated record.
GCCCCGUGAAGGUCUUGGCACAGAGACCAUGCUCUGACCUUGGAUUCAAGCUGGCACAUGGAACCCAGCACCCUUCACUGGGUGCUUCCUACCCUGGCUGGUCACUCUGAAGGACACUUGUCCCUGCUGCCUUAGGCUGGCUCUUCACCUGGAGGUCUCAGAGCUGCUGAUUGUGAAUCUCAGAGUCUUAAGAGAGAAGCCAAAUAUAUUCCUCUUGUAAAUGAAGAAAUAAACCUAUUUAAAUCAUGUC